This 809-nucleotide ribosomal RNA is filed under the name uncultured bacterium. RNAcentral's name for it is "bacterial SSU rRNA". It matches the Rfam family "Bacterial small subunit ribosomal RNA", at positions 89 to 916 of the family's 1533-position model. The record is from RNAcentral.
UAUCUAGUGGCGGACGGGUGAGUAACACGUGGGUAACCUGCCUUAUGGAGGGGGAUAACAGAGAGAAAUCACUGCUAAUACCGCAUAAGCACACAGUACCGCAUGGUACAGGGUGAAAAGAUUUAUCACCAUAAGAUGGACCCGCGUCUGAUUAGCCAGUUGGCAGGGUAAAAGCCUACCAAAGCAACGAUCAGUAGCCGAUCUGAGAGGAUGACCGGCCACAUUGGGACUGAGACACGGCCCAAACUCCUACGGGAGGCAGCAGUGGGGAAUAUUGCACAAUGGGGGAAACCCUGAUGCAGCGACGCCGCGUGAGUGAAGAAGUAUUUCGGUAUGUAAAGCUCUAUCAGCAGGGAAGAUAAUGACAGUACCUGACUAAGAAGCCCCGGCUAACUACGUGCCAGCAGCCGCGGUAAUACGUAGGGGGCAAGCGUUAUCCGGAUUUACUGGGUGUAAAGGGAGCGUAGACGGAGUGGCAAGUCUGAAGUGAAAACCCUGGGCUUAACCUGGGGACUGCUUUGGAAACUGUUAAUCUAGAGUGUUGGAGAGGUAAGUGGAAUUCCUGGUGUAGCGGUGAAAUGCGUAGAUAUCAGGAAGAACACCGGAGGCGAAGGCGGCUUACUGGACAAUAACUGACGUUGAGGCUCGAAAGCGUGGGGAUCAAACAGGAUUAGAUACCCUGGUAGUCCACGCUGUAAACGAUGAAUACUAGGUGUCGGGGAGCAAAGCUUUUCGGUGCCGUCGCAAACGCAAUAAGUAUUCCACCUGGGGAGUACGUUCGCAAGAAUGAAACUCAAAGGAAUUGACGG